AUUGAACGCUGGCGGCAUGCCUUACACAUGCAAGUCGAACGGUAACGGGUCCUUCGGGAUGCCGACGAGUGGCGAACGGGUGAGUAAUAUAUCGGAACGUGCCCAGUAGUGGGGGAUAACUGCUCGAAAGAGCAGCUAAUACCGCAUACGACCUGAGGGUGAAAGGGGGGGAUCGCAAGACCUCUCGCUAUUGGAGCGGCCGAUAUCAGAUUAGCUAGUUGGUGGGGUAAAGGCCUACCAAGGCAACGAUCUGUAGUUGGUCUGAGAGGACGACCAGCCACACUGGGACUGAGACACGGCCCAGACUCCUACGGGAGGCAGCAGUGGGGAAUUUUGGACAAUGGGCGCAAGCCUGAUCCAGCAAUGCCGCGUGCAGGAAGAAGGCCUUCGGGUUGUAAACUGCUUUUGUCAGGGAAGAAAUCUUCUGGGCUAAUACCCCGGGAGGAUGACGGUACCUGAAGAAUAAGCACCGGCUAACUACGUGCCAGCAGCCGCGGUAAUACGUAGGGUGCGAGCGUUAAUCGGAAUUACUGGGCGUAAAGCGUGCGCAGGCGGCUUUGCAAGACAGAUGUGAAAUCCCCGGGCUCAACCUGGGAACUGCAUUUGUGACUGCAAGGCUAGAGUACGGCAGAGGGGGAUGGAAUUCCGCGUGUAGCAGUGAAAUGCGUAGAUAUGCGGAGGAACACCAAUGGCGAAGGCAAUCCCCUGGGCCUGUACUGACGCUCAUGCACGAAAGCGUGGGGAGCAAACAGGAUUAGAUACCCUGGUAGUCCACGCCCUAAACGAUGUCAACUGGUUGUUGGACGGCUUGCUGUUCAGUAACGAAGCUAACGCGUGAAGUUGACCGCCUGGGGAGUACGGCCGCAAGGUUGAAACUCAAAGGAGUUGACGGGGACCCGCACAAGCGGUGGAUGAUGUGGUUUAAUUCGAUGCAACGCGAAAAACCUUACCUACCCUUGACAUGUCAAGAAUUCUGCAGAGAUGUGGAAGUGCUCGAAAGAGAACUCGAACACAGGUGCUGCAUGGCCGUCGUCAGCUCGUGUCGUGAGAUGUUGGGUUAAGUCCCGCAACGAGCGCAACCCUUGUCAUUAGUUGCUACGCAAGAGCACUCUAAUGAGACUGCCGGUGACAAACCGGAGGAAGGUGGGGAUGACGUCAGGUCCUCAUGGCCCUUAUGGGUAGGGCUACACACGUCAUACAAUGGCCGGUACAGAGGGCUGCCAACCCGCGAGGGGGAGCCAAUCCCAGAAAACCGGUCGUAGUCCGGAUCGUAGUCUGCAACUCGACUGCGUGAAGUCGGAAUCGCUAGUAAUCGCGGAUCAGCUUGCCGCGGUGAAUACGUUCCCGGGUCU
This 1352-nucleotide ribosomal RNA is filed under the name uncultured bacterium. RNAcentral describes it as "bacterial SSU rRNA". It matches the Rfam family "Bacterial small subunit ribosomal RNA", at positions 28 to 1381 of the family's 1533-position model. The record is from RNAcentral.